RNAcentral lists this transfer RNA (74 nucleotides) under Pseudomonas sp. RNAcentral's name for it is "tRNA-Gly". It matches the Rfam family "tRNA". From Rfam's summary of the family: Transfer RNA (tRNA) molecules are approximately 80 nucleotides in length. Their secondary structure includes four short double-helical elements and three loops (D, anti-codon, and T loops). Lineage: Bacteria; Pseudomonadati; Pseudomonadota; Gammaproteobacteria; Pseudomonadales; Pseudomonadaceae. RNAcentral also lists the same sequence under 2 other names. The record is from RNAcentral.
GCGGGUAUAGUUCAGUGGCAGAACCUCAGCCUUCCAAGCUGAUGAUGCGGGUUCGAUUCCCGCUACCCGCUCCA